CCAUUCCCUCUGUCUCCACCCCUGGGGCUCCAGAAAUACCUCCAGAAAUAUGUCGGGUCCACACCUUCCUCCGCUCCCCGCCUCUCCCCAGGCAUCAUCUCCCCAGUGCUCCUGGUCUGAGCUGGACCCAUUGCACCGAUGCCGAUGCCAGCUGCUGUCCGCCCCCUCCGCCUCGCCCACACCGCCUCCCGGGGGACUUUCUCCCCUCACUUUCCCUGCUCCCCCAGCGCCUAUCUAUGCAAAUCCGGGAGGGGGACAUUUGCCUGCCCUUUGCCCCCACUUCCUGUCCCAGUGGUGGGGCUGGUGUCACGGAGACACCCAGCAGCCUGCAGAGCUGCGGUGGUCACAGCUGCCGCCUCCCACCCGCCAGCCCAGGUGGCUGAGGUCGGCCCUGACAUGCCCCUGCGUCUCUCCCCUCCAGGCCUCGACGGGCCACACUUCAGCUUUCUGGUACAACUCCCAAGCCAGCAGCAGUGACCCUUCUUGUGUGCAGGCUUCCACUGUUGAACACCCAGGCUGCCUCCAGAUUAGGGCUAUUAAUGAGAACACUGAUGAUUUUUGACCAAGGCUCCUGGGGACAUAAUGCUUCCAGAUUUCUUGGGUAAACAGGAAGAGGUUGUUGGGCUGUAGGGAUGGUAUGGACCUACUUUGGCUUUAGUGUCCACUAACUUCCAUGGCUAAAGCAGUACAUGAUUCUUGGGAUGAACCAGACCAAGAGGGAUGUGAACGCAAGAAGCAUCCAGAGCCAGGCCUGGUGGUGCACACCUGUAUUCCCAGCACUCAGGAGGCUGAGGCAGGACAAUUGCCAUGAAUUCAAGACAAGCCUAGGCUAUAAAAAAAAAAAAAGAAGCCUUGGGACCCACUGGUGUGAAAGAUGACUUGGGCCUCUUCCACACGUCACCCUGCCACCGAGACCUGCCCACGCAGUGGCCAGCUGCUUGGGUCCCUGAGCCUACCAGAG
RNAcentral lists this long non-coding RNA (961 nucleotides) under Heterocephalus glaber (naked mole-rat). RNAcentral's name for it is "lncRNA (ENSHGLG00000036705.1)". The record is from RNAcentral. Lineage: Eukaryota; Metazoa; Chordata; Mammalia; Rodentia; Bathyergidae.